This 1845-nucleotide long non-coding RNA is filed under the name Gossypium barbadense (sea-island cotton). Its description in RNAcentral is "long non-coding RNA (GBAR_LNC012837)". The record is from RNAcentral. Lineage: Eukaryota; Viridiplantae; Streptophyta; Magnoliopsida; Malvales; Malvaceae.
AAAAAAUGUGUAUGUUAAAAGGUAACGGGGGCUUGAAUUUUUGAAAUUUUUGCCAAUUUAAUAUUUCGUUAUUAGCCAAGCAGGGUUGGCGCCUAUUUAGUUGUCCAGAUUCAUUAUUAGCCAGAGUUCUUAAAGCCAAAUAUUACCUACAUUCAACUUUUCUAAAUGCACAGCUGGGGAGCUUACCUUCACUUACCUGGAGGAGCAUCUGGGCAACAAAGGGCCUCCUUCAAGAUGGGCUUUGUUAGUGAGUAGGCAGAGGGACUGAGAUUUCUAUAUAGAAUGAUUGUUGGAUUCCAGGGAGUGCUGCAGUUGGUUGGCAAAAUAGAGUUGAAAAUAGUGGUUUGCAAUUAGUCUUGGAUCUAAUCGGUAGCUCAACUAGAACAUGGAAAAGGGAGCUAGUGAACAGUACUUUUCAUACGGAAACUGCCAAAAAGAUUUUACAGAUCCCUUUGGCAGAAGCGAAGCAUGAAGAUUUCCAAGUAUGGAAAGAGGAACCUUCGGGAGUUUUCUCAGUACGGAGUGCCUAUACACUAUUACAACGUGCUAGCAUGGAUCCUAAUAGUUAUUUAUUACAGACCGAAUCUAAAGAUUUCUUUAGAAAACUAUGGGACAUACAGCUACCAUAAAAAAUUACAAUUACAAUAUGGAGGAUCUACUGGAAUUACAUCUCUACAUUGAUCAAUCUAAGUUACAAGAGAGUGGCUAACAACAUCAUCUGCCCUUGCUGUGGAGUUGGAGAAGAGGAUAGUGAUCAUUUCUUUAGACAGUGUCCUGCAAUCAGAGAAAUAUGGUCAAACCUUAAUCUCUCUUGGGGUAUAACCAAAAUGGAUCAAAGUAUCGAUGAAUGGCUUACCUGGUUUUUUGUAAGAGGUACCAAUGAACAGUGUAGGAUCUUUUGUUGCGCAUUGUGGCUCAUAUGGAACUCAAUGAACCAGUUUGUUCAUGAAAGGAAAUCCAUUUCAGUAUGGGAUCUAGUUGAGAAAAUCAGAAGUUAUUUAGCUGAACUAGAGGGGAUUAGAGAUAAAAAAAACUUGCCUCUAUUCCUGAAAACACCCAUAGCCAAACAGAAGAGACAUCGAGAUCAACGUAACUAUUUGAUACAGCCUUUGACGGGAGAAAUUUUCGAUCGGCCUUCCGGAAUAGUGGUGCGGGACCGGAUGAGGGUGUUUCAAGCUUCAAAGACGACUCUCCAUGAAAAUAGCUCCUCCUCAUUCGUAGCUGAAGCUCAUGCAGGGUUAGAAGCCAUCAAGUUAGCAUCAUUAAUGGGUUUAUCUUCAGUAAUAAUAAAGGGAGACUCGAAGACAGUUAUUAAGAAAUGUAAAUCGAAUAAAGAAGACAAACCUGUUCUUGGAGCGAUCAUUCGAGAUAUUCAGAUCAAAAGAGCCAGUUUUCAAGACGUUAUUUUCCAAUUUAUUCCUAGAUCGAAGAAUAUUCAAGAAAAUAAUCUAGCAAAAAGGGCACUAGAGAAAAGGGAAGCAUCAUACUUGAAGAGGGAAGAGAGGAGUCACAGCGAGACAGAUCCGGAAGGUAGAUGGAGAGGAGAACCAGAUUGAUUUUGUUUUUGAAAUGAGGAAAUAAGAAGUUAUGAUAGCUGAUAUCUAGAAAAUCUUUGAAAAGCUAUCUUGGAAACGGUGUGGCUAUUUGAUAGAAGGAGACGGUCGAGGUAUUACUGGCGAGGCUGUCCUUUGAUUUGACUGGGUUUACUAAUUAGUUUUUUUCUCCAGAUAUUUUAAGUUGUGUUUUUAAGUUUCCUGUUCUUUUAGUUUUUCAAUGUUCGGGCUCAUUACUUCUGAUAAAAGGUAAGGCCCAGAUGUUAAUUUUUCUUUUUAAUUUUCUCAAUAU